UACGAAGGGUGCAAGCGUUACUCGGAAUUACUGGGCGUAAAGCGUGCGUAGGUGGUGAGUUAAGUCUGUCGUGAAAGCCCCGGGCUCAACCCCGGGUCGGCCGUGCGAACUGUUUUGCUUGAGCACUGUAGAGGCAGGCGGAAUUCCGGGUGUAGCGGUGGAAUGCGUAGAGAUCCGGAAGAACACCGGUGGCGAAGGCGGCCUGCUGGGCAGUAGCUGACACUGAGGCGCGACAGCGUGGGGAGCAAACAGG
Molecule: ribosomal RNA, 253 nt
Filed under: uncultured bacterium
Lineage: Bacteria
Description: partial 16S ribosomal RNA
Rfam family: Bacterial small subunit ribosomal RNA
Source: RNAcentral